CGUUAGAGGAAGUAAAAGUCGUAACAAGGUCUCCGUUGGUGAACCAGCGGAGGGAUCAUUACUGAGUUACCGCUCUAUAACCCUUUGUGAACAUACCUACAACUGUUGCUUUCGGCGGGUAGGCCGUCCCCUGAAAAGGACGCCUCCCGGCCCGGACCGGACCCCCCGCGGGACCGGACCCGGCGCCCGCCGGAGGAUAACCAAACUCUAUUGUAACGACGUUUCUUCUGAGUGGCAUAAGCAAAAUAAUCAAAACUUUUAACAACGGAUCUCUUGGUUCUGGCAUCGAUGAAGAACGCAGCGAAAUGCGAUAAGUAAUGUGAAUUGCAGAAUUCAGUGAAUCAUCGAAUCUUUGAACGCACAUUGCGCCCGCCAGCAUUCUGGCGGGCAUGCCUGUUCGAGCGUCAUUUCAACCCUCAAGCUCUGCUUGGUGUUGGGGCUCUACGGUCGACGUAGGCCCUCAAAGGUAGUGGCGGACCCUCCCGGAGCCUCCUUUGCGUAGUAACAUUUCGUCUCGCACUGGGAUCCGGAGGGACUCUUGCCGUAAAACCCCCCAAUUUUCCAAAGGUUGACCUCGGAUCAGGUAGGAAUACCCGCUGAACUUAAGCAUA
Molecule: ribosomal RNA, 611 nt
Filed under: Colletotrichum boninense
Lineage: Eukaryota; Fungi; Ascomycota; Sordariomycetes; Glomerellales; Glomerellaceae
Description: eukaryotic LSU rRNA
Rfam family: 5.8S ribosomal RNA (bases 254-407)
Source: RNAcentral